Molecule: long non-coding RNA, 743 nt
Organism: Tympanuchus pallidicinctus (lesser prairie-chicken)
Lineage: Eukaryota; Metazoa; Chordata; Aves; Galliformes; Phasianidae
Exons: 3
Source: RefSeq, a predicted model, not a curated record
GAUUCAUCCCCCAUUCCCUUUUCCUUUUUUUUCCUCCCUCGUCCCCCUGUUCCUUUUGUCCUUCUCAUGCACUUCCUACCAUCCCGCCUUUUCCCCGCCUUCCCUCAUCUCUUCUUGCACUCUUUGACUCCUUUUUCUCCCCCCAUCCUUAUUUCUCUUCACAUUCCCCUGUUCUUUUUCCCCCUUUCCUCUUCUUCACCCCCAGCUCCGCUUCCACCCCACCUCACGUCUCCUUUCUUCUGUCCCUGUACCCCAUUUUUCCUUUUUUUCUUUCCCCACCCCCUUUUUCUCUUUUUUUUCUCUGCUGUCCCCUAUUCCCUUUUUCCUCUUUGCUCUCUCUCUCCUUUCUUCCCCCUCAUCCUGUUACAGAAGACACUGAAGGAAUGAUGGACAAGCUGGUGCAGGAUGGCAGCAGCAGGGUGGAAGCACAGGUUCCGGACACGGCUUGCUCUUCUAAGCAGUGUGAGGACUGUGAGAAAGACUUUGUUGGAUGCAGCAGGAAAGCACAGCAGCUGGUGGAUGCCAGUGUCCGCUCCUGAGGCUCUGCGCCAAGCUCUGCCCAGUGCUGAUGGGAUGUCAGUGCCACCUGCUGCUCUCCAUAAACUGCAGGUUCAUUUCCUUUUGGCUUCCAUAGCAUUUGCUACUCUUUUGUUCUGUCUCACUUCUCUUUUUUCCAUGUUGCCUGCUGGCGCCUCGCUGCAGUUCCCAGGAUGCCACUGCACACUUUGGACCAAGUGAGAUGC